UACGUAGGGUGCGAGCGUUAAUCGGAAUUACUGGGCGUAAAGCGUGCGCAGGCGGUGAUGUAAGACAGAUGUGAAAUCCCCGGGCUCAACCUGGGAACUGCAUUAGUGACUGUAUAGCUAGAGUGCGGCAGAGGGGGAUGGAAUUCCGCGUGUAGCAGUGAAAUGCGUAGAUAUUCGGAAGAACACCAGUGGCGAAGGCGGCUCACUGGACCGGCAUUGACGCUGAGGUGCGAAAGCGUGGGGAGCAAACAGGAUUAGAAACCCCAGUAGU
RNAcentral lists this ribosomal RNA (271 nucleotides) under uncultured bacterium. RNAcentral describes it as "partial 16S ribosomal RNA". It matches the Rfam family "Bacterial small subunit ribosomal RNA", at positions 524 to 794 of the family's 1533-position model. The record is from RNAcentral.